Molecule: small RNA, 464 nt
Filed under: Pan troglodytes (chimpanzee)
Lineage: Eukaryota; Metazoa; Chordata; Mammalia; Primates; Hominidae
Description: processed transcript
Source: RNAcentral
UUUUCACUCUGGAUACAUGAGGAGGACUGACCAUGUACUGUACUUCUUUUAACUUCUAUAGAGCAAUCUCUUUGUAUUUAUACAAUUAUGACAACAGUAGUAAGAGAAGAAGGUUCAGAGGAUACAAGCAUGCUGCAGUACAAAAAUUCUAUAAAAAUACCUUUUUUGAGUCAUUAACAUAAAAUGAAGAAAACAGCAGCAGCCAAGAAGAGAGAUGUUGAAAUUUAAGAGAGGAAGACAGAGAAGAAAAAUCCACUGGAUACCUUAUGUGUAAUUCACCAAUCUGUUGGAACACUUCUGCCACGUGUGAAGAGUUUUGGCAGACCAAAUCCACAUGCCUGAAGUGAUGCCCACCAACAAAGACAUAAAAAUUUUCAACAUUUCAACAGCCAUGUUGGAAUCAUCUGCAGAAUACCGAAAAAGUGCCCAGUUGGAGAUUUCAUAAAAAUAACAGGCAAUCACAC